GCGGAGGGAUCAUUACUGAGUGAGGGCCUUCGGGCUCGACCUCCAACCCUUUGUGAACACAACUUGUUGCUUCGGGGGCGACCCUGCCGUUUCGACGGCGAGCGCCCCCGGAGACCUUUAAACACUGCAUCUUUGCGUCGGAGUUUAAGUAAAUUAAACAAAACUUUCAACAACGGAUCUCUUGGUUCUGGCAUCGAUGAAGAACGCAGCGAAAUGCGAUAAGUAAUGUGAAUUGCAGAAUUCAGUGAAUCAUCGAAUCUUUGAACGCACAUUGCGCCCUUUGGUAUUCCGAAGGGCAUGCCUGUUCGAGCGUCAUUUCACCACUCAAGCCUGGCUUGGUAUUGGGCGCCGCGGUCAAUCCGCGCGCCUCAAAGUCUCCGGCUGAGCUGUCCGUCUCUAAGCGUUGUGAUUUCAUUAAUCGCUUCGGAGUGCGGGCGGCCGCGGCCGUUAAAUCUUUCACAAGGUUGACCUCGGAUCAGGUAGGGAUACCCGCUG
Molecule: ribosomal RNA, 495 nt
Filed under: Septoria leucanthemi
Lineage: Eukaryota; Fungi; Ascomycota; Dothideomycetes; Mycosphaerellales; Mycosphaerellaceae
Description: eukaryotic LSU rRNA
Rfam family: 5.8S ribosomal RNA (bases 162-315)
Source: RNAcentral